RNAcentral lists this ribosomal RNA (446 nucleotides) under uncultured bacterium. Its description in RNAcentral is "partial 16S ribosomal RNA". It matches the Rfam family "Bacterial small subunit ribosomal RNA", at positions 338 to 795 of the family's 1533-position model. The record is from RNAcentral.
CCUACGGGAGGCAGCAGUAGGGAAUUUUCGGCAAUGGGGGGAACCCUGACCGAGCAACGCCGCGUGAACGAAGAAGUUAUUCGUAAUGUAAAGUUCUUUUAACAGGGAAGAAAGAGAAAUUUGACGGUACCUGAAGAAUAAGCCCCGGCUAACUACGUGCCAGCAGCCGCGGUAAUCCGUAGGGAGCGAGCGUUAUCCGGAAUUAUUGGGCGAAAGGGGUGGGUAGAUGGCAUAGUAAGUCUUUUGUAAAAAUGCUGGGCUCAACCCAGUAGGGCAAAAGAUACUGUAAAGCUAGAGUAUGACAGAGGCAAGUGGAACUACAUGUGUAGCGGUAAAAUGCGUAAAUAUAAGUAAGAACACCAGUGGCGAAGGCAGCUUGCUGGGUCGAUACUGACAUUGAGGCACGAAAGCGUGGGGAGCGAACAGGAUUAGAUACCCCUGUAGUC